AGAUGAUGUCUUUUGAUUAUGCUUUUCGGUCCUGAUUGUCUAAUUAAAGAUUGCAAGAAAUAGUCAGUCUUUUGGUAAGCAUAACCCACCUUUAUUUGUUUUCAUUGCAAUUGUGGUUUUGAUGACUAUGUCCAGGAAAUCAGCUUUUUUCUUUUUUCUUUUUUAUUUUUCAUUCUAUACUUCUUUCAGGUUGUUUGUCACCUCCUUCAUGCGAGCAUGCCAUGUAGGCUAAGAAAGGGGUACACAGUAUCGGAUAACUGUCUGCUAGAACCAAUAGGCUGUUGGGCAUAACCACAUCACCUGCACUUGCAAAAUUUGUGCAUUCGUUCCACCAUAAGGCAACACACUUGCUUAAUUCCACCAACAAAUUGCAAUAAAUGUCCCUCGAACACAAGCUCCUCAAAAGAGGAGCAAGGUGCCAACUGGGAGUAAAGCCCCAGUUGGUAAAUCCUUUCAUUUGGUGUUACUGUUAAGUUUGGAUGAUUGAGCUCUGCAUUUGUAGACAGUCUGAAUAUUGGAUUUGGUUGUUCGCAAGCACUAUAUAUUUAGUUCAAGGAGUGGAUGGUACAUUCUGGUGUGGUGUCUUUAGUACCAAUUAACUCCACUUUUCUAGGUUUGGCAAGAGUAUCUGUGGUUGCAGCUGACCCUUCUAACACAAUUUGGAGCAAGGAAAUAAACAUAAUAAGAUAGGCAAUAGAUUCAUAUGUUUUUCUAGAAAGUAGACUCUAUAUUAAUUGUAGCAUUGUUUGUUGAGAUCAGCUGGUAGUUGCAGUCAAUUCUGCAGUACAUAAAUCUGUAUGGAUCCUGAUGAGUUCUAUUCUAUAUGCAAUAUAAGGGUUUUUGGCUGGCCUUUGGGGAGCCCAUCAUGAUUUUUUUUCUAUCUUUUUGUUAAGGUCAGUGCAGAGAUGGGUGUGUCUGGUUACAUGAGCUAAGUUUGUGAUCAAGGUUUUGAGAAAGGUUUGUUCAGUUCAGAUCGGGAAUUGAAAGCGAUACUGAAUUAUUGGAGGGAGUUGAAAAGCAAGUUAUAUGGAAGGAUUUUGGCAAAAGUUAAAUGUGGUCAUGAUGAAUGCAGAGUACAUGAUAUUAAUGGAUAAACCAGUAUAUCAAGGAAGAUUAAAAUUCUUCAGCCUUCGAUCUUGGCCUAGAAUCAAGUUAGACUGGUAUCUCAGUCCAUCCCGGCAUUGGUGACCGACCAAGAUGACUAAGAUAUUUGGCAUUAAAAGAGUUAGUUGGUUUUGUUUAAACAAGUUUAAACAAAAACCUAAAAUUAAUAGUAUUUAGAAAAACGUUGUUUGAUUGUUUUUUCUCAUAAAACCUGCUUUGGAAAAAGCUGAUAGGUUAUAAACCCAAAAAAUGAAUUCUAUCAGAAACAAGUUUCCCCCUUUUAUCCAUAGAAGUUGUUUUACAUAGAAUUAUGUUUUAUGAUCAUUUGUUAUUAGUUGACUAAAUAAAACAUGUCCAUUAUUUCUGAAGUAGUAAUUAUGCCAUCUUUUGCUUAUCGAAACCAAUGCUUUGCAUUCAUUAUCAGAAUUACUAUGAGUGCAUUCUUCAUAACCAAAAUGGCUACUUUACUCUCUUAUGCUCCUAUGAACCAGCAAUAAGUUCUCUAAUACCAAAUUGCUAUUGGUUAAUCGUUGUUUUUAAAAUCUAGAACAUUUUAUUUGAUCCAGUGGUUUGCUAUCUACAAUGUAGAAAUUUCAACAUGUAACUGUCCAUGAUAUACAAAUUAGUAGCAUUUAAUGUUAGCCUUCUGAUGUUAUCUGAAAAAAGAAAAUCAACCUUUUGGGUGACUCAAGAUGUUCUAUUCCAAGGAAAGUGUGAAUUUAAAUAUGCUAUUUUGAUGAUCAUAGGUUCGUUAACUCUUCUUUCCGCUUAGUGGAGUCAACAUUGUCGUCCUUUACUCUUGAGCUCAUCCAAAUUCCUUAAGGAUGACAUCUCAUCUAUCUUAACUAUUAUGUUUUUAUUUUUGAUAAGCACUCUUCUUUAAGUUGAAGCUUCUUGCUGUUAUCUACAUUUAUCAUCUAUUGAUAGAGACUUGAGUCUUCUUUUGCCGAUGGAUCUUGCCAUUCUGAUACAAGAAUACUGAAUAAAUCCAAAUAAAAAGAAUCUAUAAGAUCAUUGUUUUUGGUUUUCUGACAACUGAACAAAAUUUGAAGACAUGGCUCUCUUAAGGUGAAUUCUUAGAUCACAGAAAAAUACUGAACAUAAGAGCAAGAUUCGGUAAAGUACAGGGUUCAUUUACAUCUCUAAGUAUACUAAAAUUGUAGCAACAUACUUUAAGGACUAAAACAACAUAUAAAACUGAUCCAUCCUGUGGUAUUUAGCCAGGUCACAAUAAACCUCCAAAAAAUGCUAAUCACCUUUGUUUCUUUAAAGUUAUAUCCCUUAUUACCCUCCUUUUCUCACAAAAAAAAAGAACGUCUCAAAUACUCUUCCAUGAAAAUAGGAUUUCUUCUCAACUGACAAGCGGGUUUAUUAAUAUCAUGUUCAGCUAGCUCUUUGUUAUAUGAUUUGGAACCUAUGAUUUACGAUACAAACCAGGAAGCUAUAUGGUCCACUAUUACAUAGAAUAGCGAUCAGAAAGUUUUUUUGAUCCAUUAAAUAGCAGGGUGUCAACCAUUCUUCACUUAAAGUUAUAGAGUGUCAAUAUGUAGUAAUUUAAAUAUCUUGAUAAAAUGGAAUUCUGAGAUGUCUUGACUAAAUCUUUCCUCCUAUGGGCUCGUAGACUUCAGAAGUUGGUCUUCUACUUCACCUUUUCCAUCCUUUAUCUCAUGGGAAACAAACUGCCAUCAACCCGUUUCAUCUCUCAUGCAUAAUCAACAGUAUGCGGCACUUACUUAUGAGAUCAAAGCUACGGAUAUAGCUUGUUUUUUUUUUUUCAUGUCAGUUUAUUAUCUUCCCAAUCCCCCAUCUCAUGUAAAAGCAUUACCAUCCACUUCAUUCCAUUCCCCCCCCUCUUCUCCCUUUUCCCUGCCUCUGUCUCGUUAGAAAAAACAUAGAACUUUGUUGUUGUGCGAACCACGACCAUCAGUUGACAUAAUCUUCAUCAUGGCUUACGUCAAAUCUAGCUGCAUAUGCAUGUGACUGUUGGUGCACGAGGUUAAUUAAGGUGGGGCUGCGUGUGUUGUCAACCUCCACAUAUAGGGAAGUCUAUUUUAUACAUAAUUUUCGUCAUGGCUUACAUCAAAUCUAGCUGCAUCUGCAUGUGACUUGUUGAUGCACGAUGUGUAUUAAGGUUGAGCUAAAGCAUGUGCUGUCAACCUGCAUAUAUAUAAGUCUUUUUUAUUACACUAAACUCUAAGAAUAUAUUAGGAAAUGGAAAAAUUUUCUAGUUGCAUUAAGGCCAACAAUCUCGCCUAGCACAAGAAACAAAUCAAGUAGAGAAAAGAUUGUUAUUAUGGCGUAUUCACUUUUCUUGCUAUUUCAGUCACUAAUAAAUCAUUAUACUAUAAUUAACAUCAAAUUCUUACUUCAAUUAUUUUUUGAGAUUAGAGAAGCCUAUUGAAUCUCUCCUAUAUCUCAUAUCUAAAGGUUUGUAAGCACUAAUCAACGACUUAGGUUGAGGUUCAAGUUCUAUGAGAGAAAAAUAGAAGCAUAGAUAUGCUGGAAUUAAACUGUAAUUUGAGAUAUAACAAUUUUAGUGACAAAAGUUGAAAAUAAUAUGAACUAAUUUGAUGGGAAGUGUUAGAGAUGCUAGAGAGUGAGAAUUAGGAAACUGAUUGCGGGAUUAGAAGGUCAGGUCAUGGUUAGAUAGGAUGAAAUAAAGAAAAACCAAAGAGGGGAAUGUGAAAUGGUGAAUAUUUGAGGAACCUUGCUAGAGUUGAAAGAGAGGAUAACUGAUGGCGUUCUAGCCUUCAUUGUCAAGGUGUUGAAUAAGGGUAAGGCUCUUUCCUCUUUUCCAUAUAAUUACACCAUGAAAAGAAAGAAAGACUAACUAUUUAUUAAAAAUGUACAAGUAUCUAAAGAGAAGUGGACUAGGCCUUUUGUACCAUAAUGGGGGCCAACACUACAUUUACUUCCUAAAGUGGGCUGUACUCCUACCAAAAAAAAAAGGAAGGAAAAACAAAUUAUGUUUCAGUCAUCUAGCUAAAAACCAAUUUGUUUAUGAACCAAGCACCAUUAAACAUGUAGAAAAGAAGUGUCGAAGAAAUCAAAUAAGUAAAAUUCUCUAAAGUUGGUAUCCACUUUUCUCUUUGCCAACUCCUCAAUUCUAGAAAUAGGAGGGUGCCAGCUGGUUCAAGUGGUAAAAUGACUGCAUGUUGAUGCCAAUGACCUGGAUUUGUGUCCUAGGUGGACUACACAUCUAAAUGUUGAUCAAAUCUUUAUGCAUAGACUCUGAUUCUUUUGACUAAAUCUGAUUGUUCCAUUAAAUUAAAUCCUAGUGAAACUAGGAUGCACAAUACUUACAUGUUUGUGAAGUUAAAACGGUAUCUAACACGUGAAUAUAUCAAUAACUAGCACAGGAAAAACUGUUAUUUGUCAAAUCAAAAAUUUAAAAGGUAACCAGUGCAUGGUACUCAAUAAUAAACGUUCAGUCAGUAAACAAAGCCACAGAUACCACAUUAUGGUGACUGGCAUCAUGCACUGCACUGAUAGAAGGCAAUGAUGAUUGGUUGUUGGUACAAAGCAUGAAAACUAAUUUACAUGUGCCCAUGCACAAUAUCUACCUCUAAUCAUACGAAUUUUGAAGCAUCUUUCCUAAGUAUUGUUUUCAUCAAAAAUCAUUCAUUUUUAAAUCAUUUCUAACAUUUCAAAAUUUUGAAUAUUCACACCCACAAACACAUGGACAUACAGAGAGAGAGAGAGAAGUUUGGCGAGUGUGGGCUUAAAGAAAAAAAAAUGGGGAAUACCAUUAUAAACAUUUUAUCAUGCUAUGGCUGAGAAAUAUAUACCAUACUGCGAAUGCAACCUAUGUCCUAUGGAUUUAGAAAGUGACAAAUAUAUUGAAAAGUUCACCAUGAUGGCGAGUUUUUGGCUUUUUUUAAACCCACAUAGUUAUGCUCUCAUCACUAAUUUUAACUUAAACUUAAACACAUGUCAUCUCCUGAAACAUACUAAUGCCCUGACAUGAUUUUCUAAGGUAAUCAAUUUCCAACCUAGUUGUAAAAAAAUAAAAAUAUAAUCAAACAACUAGAACUUCUUUACCUAUUGGCACUUUCCGAUAUAAGCAGUAGUUAUAGAGUCUAUUGACAUAGGUUAAAUUUUGCGCCCCAAAACAUAUAUAAAAUUUUUAUGUUUUGAUCUUUUUUUGGCAAUCAUUCAUAGAAGACCAAACGUUAUGGCUUUUUGUGGAACACUUAUUGUUAGUUUAUAGAUUAAUUUCAUUUUUAAGAUGAAUAUUUGAUAUGGAAAGUAGAAUUAUUGUCUUACUCGAAUAUCUAUUUUUAAUAAUUAGUUUUAGAGCUACUCCUGAU
Phoenix dactylifera (date palm) is the source of this 5414-nucleotide non-coding RNA. Lineage: Eukaryota; Viridiplantae; Streptophyta; Magnoliopsida; Arecales; Arecaceae. The record is from RefSeq and is a predicted model, not a curated record.